AUACCGCAUAAUAUCAUUUGGCCGCAUUACCGAAUGAUCAAAGCAGCAAUGCGCCUGAAGAUGGUCCCGCGGUCCAUUAGCCUGUUGGCGGGGUAACGGCCCACCAAAGCUACGAUGGAUAGCCGGCCUGAGAGGGUGAUCGGCCACACUGGGACUGAGAUACGGCCCAGACUCCUACGGGAGGCAGCAGUAGGGAAUAUUGCGCAAUGGCCUAACGGCUGACGCAGCAACGCCGCGUGGAUGAUGAAGCAUUUCGGUGUGUAAAGUCCUUUCAGUAGGGAAGAACGGCUUCGGCCUUGACGGUACCUACAGAAGAAGCACCGGCUAACUCCGUGCCAGCAGCCGCGGUAAUACGGGGGGUGCAAGCGUUGUUCGGAUUUACUGGGCGUAAGCGCACGCAGGCGGACUGUCAAGUCAGAUGUGAAAACCACGAGCUUAACUCUUGGCCUGCAUUUGAAACUGGCAGUCUUGAGUACCGGAGAGGAUGGCGGAAUUCCUGGUGUAGCGGUGAAAUGCGUAGAUAUCAGGAAGAACACCGGUGGCGAAGGCGGCCAUCUGGACGGAUACUGACGCUCAUGUGCGAAGGCUAGGGGAGCAAACAGGAUUAGAUACCCUGGUAGUCCUAGCGGUAAACGAUGGGCACUAGGUGUCGGGGGUAUCGACCCCCUCGGUGCCGCAGCUAACGCAUUAAGUGCCCCGCCUGGGGAGUACGGCCGCAAGGCUGAAACUCAAAGGAAUUGACGGGGGCCCGCACAAGCGGUGGAGUAUGUGGUUUAAUUCGACGCAACGCGAAGAACCUUACCUGGGUUUGACAUGUUUUGGAAAGCUACAGAGGUGUAGCCCCCUCUUCGGAGGCCAUUGCACAGGUGUAGCAUGGCUGUCGUCAGCUCGUGCCGUGAGGUGUUGGGUUAAGUCCCGCAACGAGCGCAACCCCUGUCCUUAGUUGCCAUCAGUUCGGCUGGGAACUCUAAGGAGACUGCCGGUGACAAGCCGGAGGAAGGUGGGGAUGACGUCAAGUCCUCAUGGCCCUUACGCCCAGGGCUACACACGUACUACAAUGGUCGGUACAGAGGGCUGCAAUGCCGCAAGGUGGAGCUAAUCCCUAAAGCCGGCCUCAGUUCAGAUUGGAGUCUGCAACUCGACUCCAUGAAGGCGGAAUCGCUAGUAAUCGCAGAUCAGCACGCUGCGGUGAAUACGUUCCCGGGCCUUGUACACACCGCCCGUCAAGCCAUGGGAGUUGGGAGUACCCGAAGUCGUCGAUCUGACGCAAGAUGACGGCGCCUAAGGUAAUAUCAACGACUGGGGCUAAGUCGUAACAAGGUA
RNAcentral lists this ribosomal RNA (1323 nucleotides) under metagenome. RNAcentral's name for it is "bacterial SSU rRNA". It matches the Rfam family "Bacterial small subunit ribosomal RNA", at positions 166 to 1498 of the family's 1533-position model. The record is from RNAcentral.